Long non-coding RNA from Bactrocera dorsalis (oriental fruit fly), 2461 nucleotides. RefSeq lists it as uncharacterized. NCBI's taxonomy places the organism in Eukaryota, Metazoa, Arthropoda, Insecta, Diptera, Tephritidae. The record is from RefSeq and is a predicted model, not a curated record. The transcript has 2 exons.
AUGUCUCUGAGAAUUCUACUAAAGGGUGGUAAAUUUCGAAGUUCCCUCCUUUUGCAAAGAAAAAACACAGAAACUUCAAAUUUAAAUUGAUUUUUUUCGAAAGAACAUUCUUUGACAUUUAUUUUUUAAAAAUUAUCUUUUUCAAAUGUUGGCAGUUGCUACGUCUCAGAUAAUCCAUCCGUUGAGUCCAAUUUUCGAUGACUCGUUUGAAUGGAAGCGCGAUUUUCCGCAUAGACUUUAGACCUUACAUACAUACAUGUUUGACAGCUCUUGAAUCUCUUCAGGCUGCUCUUCGUUCCAAACGCGACAAUUUUGCUUGUUUACCUAACCAUUGAGUGAAGUAAUGCCGCUUGGGAAGGUCGAGCCGUUUCAGUUCUUGCAUAAAUUGUAUUUUGUUCGCUUUCAAUUUAAGAUCUCAGCGUAAAAUGUGCCAAGUCGUUUCAUACGGCACUCCGAGUUGCUGCGAUCGGCGCCGAAUCGACUCUCCACGGUCUUCGUGUACACUCUCAGCUAUGGCUGCUAUAUUUUCUUCACAACGUGCUGAACGUGGCGUUCGGUCGAAUAUUAUCCAAUAAAUAAUGUUGAGUUUGAAGAUGGGUUAUGGUGUUGCGACUAAUACACAGUUGUCCAUAAAUUAAGCAAAGCGCACUAAACAGCUUCUUCACAAAACGUGAAUUUUCGUAAUAAAGUUUGUAAACGUUGUUAGGUAGUCUUUCUGUUCAGUAAGUCUUUCUACGAUGAAAUGCUUAACAAUACUCAAAAAAAGUAACACGACAGCUUGACACGAAUCAUGCAUGACCUGUCAAAAAAAGGCUAUUGAAAAAGGUGCCCCAACUUGGAACAUAUAUUGUAUUGUAUGCUGAAAAGUCAAUUCCAAAAAAACAAGAUGAGCUACAAAAAAAUAAUAACAUUAAUAUUCCAAAUUAGUAUCUUAUUAAUUUAAGUAUAUUUUGCACAGUGUCCGCGAUAUUUAUAGGAGGAUCAAAAAGGAAUAUGAGCUUUGGUCCAAUGUCUAGACCAGUUUCAUUCAUAUUCAGCGCUAAACCUCCAAAUGAACUUCUUUACUGGCGUAGACACCGCUUAUACAAUGUUCGGACCGACAACGAAAACAUGUUUUCGUGGAAAAAACUGGUUUUCGCACGAAAACUUAUGUUUUCGUCCAUGUAAAAUCUGUCAAACGAAAACACAGUUUUCGCUGAAAACUACUUGAAAACUUACAUUCCACUCAUUAUAAUCGGUGCCUGCUCUAGUUUAAUCGAUUUUUUUGGAAGACAUAUUUUGCCGGCCCUAAAUUGUCACUUGAUAUUUGUUUACAUUCCAUACACAGUUGUCAGUUUGUAUUUGAUAUUAAUAUUAAAAAAUGGAAAAACAAAAAUUUCUAUUGGUGCUGGAACAUUUAUGUGCUGGAAUGAAACAUCUACGUGACAAUAAUUUAGUACAUCGCGAUUUAAAACCGGGAAAUAUAAUAAAAUUUAUUUCGGAGAUGGUCAAACCAUAUAUAAUACAAGCUAACUGAUUUCGGUGCCGCCCAGGAAUUGGAUGAUAACAAAGCGUUUGUUUCACUUUAUGGAACAGAGGAGUAUUUACAUCUCGAUAUGUAUGAACGUGCUGUGCUACGUAAACAAAUAAAUCGUUCAUUUACUGCAAAUGUGGACUUAUGGUUCAUUGGUGUCACUCUUUACCAUGUAGCAACUGGAAAUUUACCAUUCCGUCCUUUUGGUGGCCGUAAAAACCACAAAAAACAAUGCAUCAAAUAACCACAAAAAAGGCGUCUGGCGUAAUUUCGGGUACUCAACUAUCCGAAAAUGGACCAGUCGAAUGGUGGACUACGCUGCCAUCAUAUUGCAAUUUGUCAGAAGAUCUAAAAACAUUGGUGACACCGCUCUUGACUGGUUUGUUAAAAAAAAUAUCUAGAGAAAACCUGGUGUUUGAUCGUUUCUCCAAGAAGUAACAUUAAUUUUGCGUAAAUUCGUUUUGCAUGUCUUUUUCACAAAUCGCACCACUUCUGUGGAAGUUUACCUCGAACCAGUCGUACAAAUUGAUAAAUUUCGUGAACGCAUAUUACUACAGCCGGAGUACCAAUAGAAAAGCAGAUAUUAUUAUUCAAUAAUGAGCCUUUGGAAAGUGACGUCCUCUUCCAUAUCUAAAGCUUUUCCUAAAACCACAGCAGAAAAUCCAAUAUUCCUAUAUAGUAAUGAUGACAAUAAUGUAACGUAACGUGUCGGUUGAAAAUUAUGCCAGUCUUGCUAAGGUGGGUGUUUAUUAUUUGGUUCAGAUUAUAUUUUAGUGAGUAUUUUAUUUAUUAUUUUUUAGGCCGCUUGUAGCGUUGGACAUGAAUGCAAGAGACACCUUUACAUUUAUGGGUAUUUUAAUAAAGCGUUCUGUAGAACAAGAAGACAGCAGUCGGGUCAACUGGCUGUUCUCCCUAAAUUAUAAUUAAUAAAUAUUAAUUCUAAUACGA